CGUAGGUGGCAAGCGUUGUCCGGAAUUAUUGGGCGUAAAGCGCGCGCAGGCGGUCCUUUAAGUCUGAUGUGAAAGCCCACGGCUCAACCGUGAGGGUCAUUGGAAACUGGGGGACUUGAGUACAGAAGAGAAGAGUGGAAUUCCACGUGUAGCGGUGAAAUGCGUAGAGAUGUGGAGGAACACCAGUGGCGAAGGCGACUCUUUGGUCUGUAACUGACGCUGAGGCGCGAAAGCGUGGGGAGCAAACAGGAUUAGAUACCCUGGUAGUCCACGCUGUAAACGAUGAGUGCUAAGUGUUAGAGGGUUUCCGCCCUUUAGUGCUGCAGCUAACGCAUUAAGCACUCCGCCUGGGGAGUACGGCCGCAAGGCUA
Molecule: ribosomal RNA, 371 nt
Filed under: uncultured organism
Description: bacterial SSU rRNA
Rfam family: Bacterial small subunit ribosomal RNA
Source: RNAcentral